This 253-nucleotide ribosomal RNA is filed under the name uncultured bacterium. RNAcentral describes it as "partial 16S ribosomal RNA". It matches the Rfam family "Bacterial small subunit ribosomal RNA", at positions 524 to 776 of the family's 1533-position model. The record is from RNAcentral.
UACGGAGGGUGCAAGCGUUGCUCGGAAUCACUGGGCGUAAAGAGAGCGUAGGCGGACAAUUAAGUCAGGUGUGAAAGCCCGGAGCUCAACUCCGGAAUUGCAUCUGAAACUGGUUGUCUAGAGUACAGGAGAGGAGAGUGGAAUUCCUGGUGUAGAGGUGAAAUUCGCUGAUAUCAGGAGGAACACCCGUGGCGAAGGCGGCUCUCUGGUCUGAUACUGACGCUGAGGCUCGAAAGUGUGGGUAGCAAACAGG